CCCUUAGAUGUUCUGGGCCGCACGCGCGCUACACUGAUGCAUUCAACGAGCCUAUCCUUGACCGACAGGUCCGGGUAAUCUUUGAAUCUGCAUCGUGACGGGGAUAGAUUAUUGCAAUUAUUAAUCUUCAACGAGGAAUGCCUAGUAGGCGCAAGUCAUCAGCUUGCGUCGAUUACGUCCCUGCCCUUUGUACACACCGCCCGUCGCUCCUACCGAUUGAACGUUUUAGUGAGGUAUUUGGACUGGGCCUUGGGAGGUUUCGGCCUCCCUUGUUGCUCGGAAAGACUCCCAAACUUGAGCGUUUAGAGGAAGUAAAAGUCGUAACA
RNAcentral lists this ribosomal RNA (326 nucleotides) under uncultured eukaryote. RNAcentral describes it as "partial 18S ribosomal RNA". It matches the Rfam family "Eukaryotic small subunit ribosomal RNA", at positions 1470 to 1796 of the family's 1831-position model. The record is from RNAcentral.